This 468-nucleotide ribosomal RNA is filed under the name uncultured bacterium. RNAcentral describes it as "partial 16S ribosomal RNA". It matches the Rfam family "Bacterial small subunit ribosomal RNA", at positions 28 to 507 of the family's 1533-position model. The record is from RNAcentral.
GACGAACGCUGGCGGCGUGCUUAACACAUGCAAGUCGAACGGAAAGGCCCUGCUUUUGUGGGGUGCUCGAGUGGCGAACGGGUGAGUAACACGUGAGUAACCUGCCCUUGACUUUGGGAUAACUUCAGGAAACUGGGGCUAAUACCGGAUAGGAGCUCCUGCUGCAUGGUGGGGGUUGGAAAGUUUCGGCGGUUGGGGAUGGACUCGCGGCUUAUCAGCUUGUUGGUGGGGUAGUGGCUUACCAAGGCUUUGACGGGUAGCCGGCCUGAGAGGGUGACCGGCGACAUUGGGACUGAGAUACGGCCCAGUCUCCUACGGGAGGCAGCAGUGGGGAAUACUGCACAAUGGGCGGAAGCCUGAUGCAGCAACGCCGCGUGCGGGAUGACGGCCUUCGGGUUGUAAACCGCUUUCGCCUGUGACGAAGCGUGAGUGACGGUAAUGGGUAAAGAAGCACCGGCUAACUACGUG